GCACAUAGAUGAUGAAGGGCGGGCAGUGGCUGAACUUACAAGCCACAUGGUUAAACUGACGCAUGUACCUACUCAGGUCUGGAAUGGGUAUAAUCCUAGUAGUUGGUUUGGAAGUUGGUAUGAGCAGCUUGGAGGGAUUAAGGCGUUAGUAGGAGGAGUAGUAUUCAUUAUAUUCUUAUGUCUCUUUCUGCCCUGCCUAAU
This is a non-coding RNA of Pelobates cultripes (western spadefoot toad), 201 nucleotides long. Lineage: Eukaryota; Metazoa; Chordata; Amphibia; Anura; Pelobatidae. The record is from the annotation of a GenBank genome assembly.